GACGAACGCUGGCGGCGUGCCUAACACACGCAAGUCGAGCGAAUGAAGUUCCUUCGGGAACGGAUUUAGCGGCGGACGGGUGAGUAACACGUGGGCAACCUGCCUCAUAGAGGGGAAUAGCCUUCCGAAAGGGAGAUUAAUACCGCAUAAGAUUGUAGUACCGCAUGGUACAGCAAUUAAAGGAGCAAUCCGCUAUGAGAUGGGCCCGCGGCGCAUUAGCUAGUUGGUGAGGUAACGGCUCACCAAGGCGACGAUGCGUAGCCGACCUGAGAGGGUGAUCGGCCACAUUGGGACUGCGACACGGCCCAGACUCCUACGGGAGGCAGCAGUGGGGAAUAUUGCACAAUGGGGGAAACCCUGAUGCAGCAACGCCGCGUGAGUGAUGACGGCCUUCGGGUUGUAAAGCUCUGUCUUCAGGGACGAUAAUGACGGUACCUGAGGAGGAAGCCACGGCUAACUACGUG
RNAcentral lists this ribosomal RNA (464 nucleotides) under uncultured bacterium. RNAcentral's name for it is "partial 16S ribosomal RNA". It matches the Rfam family "Bacterial small subunit ribosomal RNA", at positions 28 to 507 of the family's 1533-position model. The record is from RNAcentral.